This is a long non-coding RNA of Mauremys reevesii (Reeves's turtle), 471 nucleotides long. RefSeq lists it as uncharacterized. The transcript has 2 exons. Lineage: Eukaryota; Metazoa; Chordata; Testudines; Geoemydidae. The record is from RefSeq and is a predicted model, not a curated record.
UAGAUUCUGCUGAGCACGUACUUAUAGAGUGAGGACAGACCUUCAUAAACCAACAGCUCAAAGAAGUGACACUUUUUCAACAAAAUUUCAGUGCCAGCCAUUGGGCCAAAUUAUGCUCUUUGUUCUACUGACGUAAAUCCAGGACCAAGACAUUGACUUUGCCCAGAAGUAACUGAGAACAGAGUUUGGCUGAACAGAAUGUAAUGUCCAAUUGUAUUACAUAAACUCUGGCUUGAAAGGGAAGCUACAGUGUGCUCAAAUGUAGUCCAUGGCAUCCAUCUGUGCCCUUAAACAACAGGAGCCAUUUGAAAUGAAUUAUGUAUGUUUGGAUAGGGAGUAUCCAAUAUAGAAUGAUUAAUGUGUGCAUUAUGACAGUCAGUCAUUUCAAAGGAGAAGCGGGUUAAAAAUAUGCAUGCUCUAGGCCUGUAAUCAAGGCUCCUUGUACAAAGAAUAAAAACAGACACUGGCAAA